GUCAGAAAACGCCAACCCUGUUGCGAGACGGGGACGGAAAGCCGCGGGUCUCAUGGAGAUGGCCGGGUUGCCUGA
Molecule: non-coding RNA, 75 nt
Organism: Syntrophobacter fumaroxidans MPOB
Lineage: Bacteria; Pseudomonadati; Thermodesulfobacteriota; Syntrophobacteria; Syntrophobacterales; Syntrophobacteraceae
Source: Rfam